CCUUACGAGUAGGGCUACACACGUGCUACAAUGGCGCAUACAAAGAGAAGCGACCUCGCGAGAGCAAGCGGACCUCAUAAAGUGCGUCGUAGUCCGGAUUGGAGUCUGCAACUCGACUCCAUGAAGUCGGAAUCGCUAGUAAUCGUAGAUCAGAAUGCUACGGUGAAUACGUUCCC
This 176-nucleotide ribosomal RNA is filed under the name bacterium dulse 4. RNAcentral's name for it is "partial 16S ribosomal RNA". It matches the Rfam family "Bacterial small subunit ribosomal RNA", at positions 1200 to 1375 of the family's 1533-position model. The record is from RNAcentral.